GGUGGUGAUGGUGGUGGUUGUUGUGGUGGUGGUGGUUGUUGUGGUGGUUGUGGUUAGCGGGCUGCUGAUGUACAGACGUUGCCUGGACGUUCGUGGCCUGCAGGUUCACUGACUGAACGUUCCCUGAACGUCGCCUGGACGUUCGCCUAGAGACGACCAUGAAAGUUUUACUCUUCAAAGAAGCCAGGGAUGGGGAUGAAGAAGGAGACCCAUACCACCAGGCUCUCUCCGCUGCUGGGAUUCACUCCACACUGAUGCCAGCUCUGUCAUUCCGCUAUGUCAGACUUACUGAGCUACGGGACGCGAUGCUGCGUCCUGGUGACUUUGCCGGCCUGGUGUUGACCAGCCCCCGGGCGGUCGAGGCGGUGAGGCUAGCGGUGAGCGGCGUUGGGGUGAGUCACGUGGGGCACGGACCAAGUUGGGACUGGACUCACUCGGAGCUCACAGCGGCAACGCUCAGCAGCUCGCCCUCAACAUCAUCAGCAGCAGCAGUAGCAUCAGCAGCAGUAGCAUCAGCAGCAGCCAAGGUGAGAUCAUCAUCAGCAG
Molecule: non-coding RNA, 546 nt
Organism: Petromyzon marinus (sea lamprey)
Lineage: Eukaryota; Metazoa; Chordata; Hyperoartia; Petromyzontiformes; Petromyzontidae
Source: RefSeq, a predicted model, not a curated record